GAUGAAGAACGUAGCGAAAUGCGAUAAGUAAUGCGAAUUGCAGAAUUCAGUGAGUCAUCGAAUCUUUGAACGCACAUUGCGCCCUGUGGUAUUCCGCAGGGCAUGCCUGUUCGAGCGUCAUUUCAACCCUCAAGCCCCGCUUGGUGUUGGGCCCCGCCCGCCGUGGCCGGCCCUAAAGACAGUGGCGGCGCCGCCUGGCCCUCAGCGUAGUACAGCUCUCGCUCCAGGGUCCGGCGGCCGCCUGCCAGAACCCCCCCCACUCUGUGGUUGACCUCGGAUCAGGUAGGGAUACCCGCUGAACUUAAGCAUAUCAAUAAGCGGAGGA
This 325-nucleotide unclassified non-coding RNA is filed under the name soil metagenome. Its description in RNAcentral is "partial contains 5.8S ribosomal RNA, internal transcribed spacer 2, and large subunit ribosomal RNA". The stretch from base 1 to 120 matches the Rfam family "5.8S ribosomal RNA", at positions 35 to 154 of the family's 154-position model. The record is from RNAcentral.